This 465-nucleotide ribosomal RNA is filed under the name uncultured bacterium. Its description in RNAcentral is "bacterial SSU rRNA". It matches the Rfam family "Bacterial small subunit ribosomal RNA", at positions 36 to 518 of the family's 1533-position model. The record is from RNAcentral.
CUGGCGGCGUGCCUAACACAUGCAAGUCGAGCGAGGAGAUCCUUCGGGAUGAUCCUAGCGGCGGACGGGUGAGUAACACGUGGGCAACCUGCCUCAUAGAGAGGAAUAGCCUUCCGAAAGGGAGAUUAAUACCUCAUAACAUUGCAGUUUCGCAUGGAACAGCAAUUAAAGGAGCAAUCCGCUAUGAGAUGGGCCCGCGGCGCAUUAGCUAGUUGGUGAGGUAACGGCUCACCAAGGCGACGAUGCGUAGCCGACCUGAGAGGGUGAUCGGCCACAUUGGGACUGAGACACGGCCCAGACUCCUACGGGAGGCAGCAGUGGGGAAUAUUGCACAAUGGGGGAAACCCUGAUGCCAGCAACGCCGCGUGAGUGAUGACGGCCUUCGGGUUGUAAAGCUCUGUCUUCAGGGACGAUAAUGACGGUACCUGAGGAGGAAGCCACGGCUAACUACGUGCCAGCCGCGGC